Molecule: ribosomal RNA, 253 nt
Filed under: uncultured bacterium
Lineage: Bacteria
Description: partial 16S ribosomal RNA
Rfam family: Bacterial small subunit ribosomal RNA
Source: RNAcentral
UACGUAGGUGGCAAGCGUUACUCGGAAUCACUGGGCGUAAAGCGCAGGUAGGCGGUUGGGUAAGUUUCUUGUGAAAGCUCCUGGCUUAACUGGGAGAGGUCAAGGAAUACUGUCUGACUUGAGUGUGGUAGGGGUAACUGGAAUUCCCGGUGUAGCGGUGAAAUGCGUAGAUAUCGGGAGGAAUACCUAUGGCGAAGGCAGGUUACUGGGCCAUCACUGACGCUGAGCUGCGAAAGCUAGGGGAGCAAACAGG